This 210-nucleotide long non-coding RNA is filed under the name Gossypium raimondii (Peruvian cotton). RNAcentral describes it as "long non-coding RNA (GRAI_LNC000697)". The record is from RNAcentral. Lineage: Eukaryota; Viridiplantae; Streptophyta; Magnoliopsida; Malvales; Malvaceae.
GUUCAUCCAACCAUUAACAACAUUAAAAAAGAUUUACUUUUGAAAUAAAUUCAAAAAAUCAUAAAAAGGAAAAUCAUUUAAACAAAUAGCAAAAAAUCUAAAAAAAAAUUAGAAAAUUUGGCAAGAACUAAGAAAUUCAUAAAAAGUAAUUUGAUAAACUUACGCUACAUACAAACACAAUCCAAAAGCAAGUAUCCCGAACGAUCACCA